GUUAAUGUGGCAGAGCUUGGCAUUGCAGAAGGCCUAAGCCCUUCUCACAGAGGUUCAAGUCCUCUUAUUAACU
This is a non-coding RNA of Cheilinus undulatus (humphead wrasse), 73 nucleotides long. NCBI's taxonomy places the organism in Eukaryota, Metazoa, Chordata, Actinopteri, Labriformes, Labridae. The record is from the annotation of a RefSeq genome assembly.